AACGAACGCCGGCGGUAUGCCUAACACAUGCAAGUCGAACGAGACCUUCGGGUCUAGUGGCGCACGGGUGCGUAACGCGUGGGAACCUGCCCUUAGGUUCGGAAUAACUCCCCGAAAGGGGUGCUAAUACCGGAUAAUGUCUUCGGACCAAAGAUUUAUCGCCUUUGGAUGGGCCCGCGUUGGAUUAGCUAGUUGGUAGGGUAAAAGCCUACCAAGGCGACGAUCCAUAGCUGGUCUGAGGGGAUGAUCAGCCACACUGGGACUGAGACACGGCCCAGACUCCUACGGGAGGCAGCAGUGGGGAAUAUUGGACAAUGGGCGAAAGCCUGAUCCAGCAAUGCCGCGUGAGUGAUGAAGGCCUUAGGGUUGUAAAGCUCUUUUACCCGGGAUGAUAAUGACAGUACCGGGAGAAUAAGCUCCGGCCAACUCCGUG
This 433-nucleotide ribosomal RNA is filed under the name uncultured bacterium. RNAcentral describes it as "partial 16S ribosomal RNA". It matches the Rfam family "Bacterial small subunit ribosomal RNA", at positions 29 to 507 of the family's 1533-position model. The record is from RNAcentral.